RNAcentral lists this ribosomal RNA (119 nucleotides) under Callithrix jacchus (white-tufted-ear marmoset). Lineage: Eukaryota; Metazoa; Chordata; Mammalia; Primates; Cebidae. The record is from RNAcentral.
GUCUACAGCUGUACCACCCUGAACACACCCAAUCUCAUCUGAUCACGGAAGCUAAGCAGGGUCAGACCUGGUUAGUACUUGGAUGGGAGACAGCCUGGGAAUACCAGGUGCUGUAGGCU